This 1552-nucleotide long non-coding RNA is filed under the name Homo sapiens (human). RNAcentral describes it as "non-protein coding PCBP1-AS1:238". The record is from RNAcentral. Lineage: Eukaryota; Metazoa; Chordata; Mammalia; Primates; Hominidae.
ACUGCAGUAGUGAAAAUGAAGCGCACGAUGGGCGGAAGCUAGGAAGACAAACAUAAAGAUGAAGUGCUUAAUUCAAGGUCACACAAUGUCGGGGAUGGACCUCCAGAUUUCCUUACUGACCUGCAUUAUCUUGUGGAUACCUGAGUGAAUUCCACACCACCCAUUUUAUAGAUGAAACCACUGAGACAUGGAGCAAUUGACUGAGUAGUCACUGCCCCACCCCUGCCUGGAGCCUCACACAUGACUCGCCUCCUCUCAGUGACCACAGGAAAACAAGCUCAGGGCUCCCACUGAUUGUACAUUAUGGUGAGACGUGGUCUUGUAACACAGUGGUUAAGAAUGUGACUUUGGAGCCAGCCUGCUAGGGGCUGAAUUCUGACUCAGCCAUUUACUAACUGUGUGACCUUAGGCUGGAGUGCAAUGGCAUGAUCUCGGCUCAUCACAACCUCUGCUUCCUGGGUUCAAGCGAUUCUCCUGCCUCAGCCUCCCGAGUACCUGGGACUACAGGCACUCGCCACCAUGCCCGGCUGAUUUUUGUAUUUUUAAUAGAGAUGGUUUCACUAUGUUGGCCAGGCUGGUCUCGAACUCCUGACCUUGUGAUCUGCCCACCUCAGCCUCGAAAAGUGCUGGGAUUACAGGCGUGAGCCACUGCGCCCAGCCUUGUAUUUUUUUUCAGUUUGGGUAGCUGUCCCUAAUUCAUUUGUUAAAGGAGAAGCAAGAGCAAGAACCUUUAAUCUGUUCUCCUCUUCCCUAAUUUGAAAGUAGCUUGUUAUUUUGAAUAUCACUUUCUCUGAAAUAGCACAUCUCCAUCUCAGAGAAUGGAUUUAAUGUUUGGAUACAGCCAAAAGUCAUUUCAUUACCAAACCAUGGGGUGAAUAUACCAUGUAAAGCAGUUUGGGAUCAGAACUCACAGUCUGAAUUGUAAGUGAUGAGACUGCUGUCUCUCUGCUACAGCUUCUUGGCUGGCUCUGAAGGCUCUUUGAAGGCAGAUCCUAACAAGGGGACUGCUUUGAAGGGCCAUUGUUCAUUUGGAAUGAUAAAGUCUAUGUUGUUCAAAAAACAAAUGCUUGUAGCAGGUAUUUUUUCACUCCAGACUGAGAAUAUUGGUGGGAUAUUGAUAAGGGGUACUGAAUGGUAAUAAACAUGUGCUCUAGCUCUGUGCUAGUCAGCUUAUUUCAGAACUCUAGUUUGAUUCAGUUUCUUGCCUCUGACUCAAAAUGGAGGGAGAGUGAUUUUUACAUAAGAGAACACACCCACAUAUCCUUUUGGCAGCAGCUACCUGCCAGAGAUGUUGAAGAAGAGUAGCCAACCUUUACACAGCAGAUAUUGUGUGCCAGUCAUAGUCCUAAGUAUAAUACCUUACAUGUAUAAACUUCUUAUAAGGUUGGUGCUCUGUACCGAAUUGAAUAGUAUCCCCCAAAAUUCAUGUUGUCCCAGAACCUAUGAAAGUGAUCUUACUUGAGGGAGGGGGGAGGGGGGAGGGAUAGCAUUAGGAGAUAUACCUAAUGCUAAAUGACGAGUUAAUGGGUGUAGCACACCAGCAUGGCACAUG